GCGAGCUGAUGCAGCGAUGCCGCGUGAGUGAAGAAGGCCUUUGGGUUGUAAAGCUCUUUUGUCGGGAAAGAUAAUGACUGUACCCGAAGAAUAAGGUCCGGCUAACUUCGUGCCAGCAGCCGCGGUAAUACGAAGGGACCUAGCGUAGUUCGGAAUUACUGGGCGUAAAGAGUAUGUAGGCGGCUAGAUAAGUUAAUUGUGAAAGCCCAAAGCUUAACUUUGGAACUGCAAUUAAAACUAUUUAGCUGGAGUAUGAUAGAGGAAAGCGGAAUACAUAGUGUAGAGGUGAAAUUCGUAGAUAUUAUGUAGAACACCAGUUGCGAAGGCGGCUUUCUGGAUCAUUACUGACGCUGAGAUACGAAAGUAUGGGUAGCGAAGAGGAUUAGAUACCCUCGUAGUCCAUACCAUAAACGAUGAUUAUUAAAUGUGGGGAAUUAUUUCUCUGUAUUAUAGCUAACGCGUUAAAUAAUCCGCCUGGGGAGUACGACCGCAAGGUUAAAACUCAAAUGAAUUGACGGGGACCCGCACAAGCGGUGGAGCAUGUGGUUUAAUUCGAAGCAACGCGC
This 566-nucleotide ribosomal RNA is filed under the name uncultured bacterium. Its description in RNAcentral is "bacterial SSU rRNA". It matches the Rfam family "Bacterial small subunit ribosomal RNA", at positions 377 to 964 of the family's 1533-position model. The record is from RNAcentral.